ACGCUCGACACCUACGGGAGGCAGCAGUGGGGAAUAUUGCACAAUGGGGGAAACCCUGAUGCAGCGACGCCGCGUGAGCGAAGAAGUAUUUCGGUAUGUAAAGCUCUAUCAGCAGGGAAGAAACUGACGGUACCUGACUAAGAAGCACCGGCUAAAUACGUGCCGGCAGCCGCGGUAAUCUGAGCGGGCUGGCAAGGC
This 198-nucleotide ribosomal RNA is filed under the name uncultured bacterium. Its description in RNAcentral is "partial 16S ribosomal RNA". It matches the Rfam family "Bacterial small subunit ribosomal RNA", at positions 328 to 539 of the family's 1533-position model. The record is from RNAcentral.